AAGUCGUAACAAGGUUUCCGUAGGUGAACCUGCGGAAGGAUCAUUACCAAAAGAUAAGUAUUUAUACUUACUCUAGCCGGUGUCUUGAUGGCACCGGUGCCCGUCCGCGGAUGGGGGAACACACUGCGAAGUGUGCGCCAAGGAAACUUAACUUACCCAUAAAAAUCAGUAAAAACAUAAAAGAACAACUGAUUGCCGUGGAUCACUCGGCUGAUGGAUUGAUGAAGAACGUAGCUAGCUACGAUAACUGGUGUGAAUUGCAGAGCACGAUAACCCAGAUUUUGAACGCACAUUGCGGUUGCACAGCAAUGUGUAACCCUCGGCUGUUCGAGUGUCGGAAUAUUACAUCAAUCAUAUUAUUGUUGUGCGCUUGACUAUGAAAUACUAGUGGAGUGCAAUCGGAUUGCAGCUUGGAUCAUUGACUGCGGUGCCUUGCGUGUCUGCAGUCUUGUGAAAAGUGCUGCGUAUCAUCGCGGAACCUUGUGUUCUGUCGACGGAUGCCAUCAGCAUCGGUUGCCGUCCAACGGUGAUCCGAUGUUAGACCUUCCCAAACACACAAAUUUGGUGUGAUCAUUUCUCGACCUCGCUCAGCGAAAGUACCCGCUGAACUUAA
RNAcentral lists this ribosomal RNA (613 nucleotides) under uncultured fungus. RNAcentral describes it as "eukaryotic LSU rRNA". The stretch from base 187 to 337 matches the Rfam family "5.8S ribosomal RNA". The record is from RNAcentral. Lineage: Eukaryota; Fungi.